ACCCAUUAACAAUUGAAAAAUCGAAAACUCCCAGAGAAACUAAAACAAGAUACACCACAAUCCAAUAGGCUUUUAAAUCAAAGAAAUUAAACAGUAAAUCAAUUAAAAAAGGAUGGAACAGAAACAGCUGGGGUGAUCGAUCAUUGCAGAACAUUGAUUAGUACGUUUAGUUGUUUGUCUUUUCUGGCCGGUGAUGGACUUGGUUCCCCAAUAGAAGGCGAGCGAGAUUCAAGGAAAAAGAAGCAAAUAUAACACUGAAACAUUUACACAACUAAACGAAACACAUCAAUUAUGUCCACUAUCAGGAUGCAAAAGAUUAAACAAACCUUGUAUUUUGAGGGUUUGAGGUUGCCAAACUCACCCAUCAGAGUAGCUCAAACCUUUUGUUCUGUGUAGCUACCUAUACUUAUCGACUUCUCAUAUGAGAAAAAGAAAAGAGAUUAGGAAAACAGAAACUUUACAUUUGCAAUAAUCCUGUUUAAACAGUGAAAUACCUUUUUACUUUUUAUAGUCACUUCCAUCUAAAGAAAAACAAGCAAUGAACAUCCCUCAACAGAACUCUAUUUUCACUAAAAUCAUAUCCAACCUACUAACUGUUAUUGGAGAAAUGAGGUUUCUACAUGUUUCAGUCGGUGUAUCUCUACAUGUGUGUUACUGUAUGCUGUGAAGAUGUAGCAUUUAAAAAAUGAUACAUAUACAGAAGCACGACAAAAUUAUGCGACAAGGAAAAAUAUACAAUCCAUCAGGAAGGAAAAAGAACAAUAAACAAUGAAUACCAAAAAUAAAAUCUCAAAGUCAGCAAACCCUAUAAAUAAUGAUGUUUUAUACGACAAACUUCCAGCAUAUAGGUUCCCAUGGUUUCUUUCUAUAGCAUCAAAAGUGGCUAAUGUAAUUUGCGAAAAGCUAGCCCCAAAGGCGAGCUUUUGACCUUGUUUUUGCCCAACCCAUACAGGAAACUCCAGGUAUACUUUGUGUGCUUUACUCAAAUUGAUAGCAGCUUAAAAACUACUGGGAAUUAAAGUAACAAGACCUGAUCGAUACACACAAGAAAUUUGGUGCAUCUGAUUUUCAUUGCUGAUAUCCAAGACUUAGUAAUUAAUGUCUCUGAGUUUAAGUUUCUAACCAAAUGGUAAAGUAUCAACCUGAAAUUUCAGUUUCUAAGCUGUUGCCAUAAAGAUAGGCAUACAUAGAAAGCAAUUCGGCUCCUAAUAGACAAGCCUACAUUGCCUUAAUUUUCAAUUUCAACAGAAAAUGUUCAACAACAACAUCAAAAUGGCGUGCUUCUUAGACUCAGGCAACAACUAUCUUCAAAUUCCGUCAACGAAUUGUCUUGGAAUUAUGAUUUGCAUCCAAAAUGCAAUUCCCAGAAAUUAUAAAACAAAAAUCCAAAACAUCCAGCGUAAAUAGAAAGAUCAUUAACAUGAAAAGCAACUAGAUCUCAAAACUGGAUUCAAAGAUCACUCAAAUAAAUGCAAGAAAUUAGGGAAGAAAUAUGUAGGGGCAACCUGCCGACUCGUCAGAGCCUUGUUGGAGCUGAAAACCUAAUACGAGACGAAUCAAGAUCUCGUAGCGCGAGAUCGAGCAAAAAUUUCUCCGGCGAUCCGAUCUAAGAGGACGUCCAAGGCUGGGGAUCUUCGGAGCCGAAAUUGAAACCCUAGAUCCAGGUGCGAAGAAGAAUGCGUAGAACACAUUCGGAUUAGGGUUAAAGUUUGGGAUUGUGUUGAUGUAGAAGACGAAGAAUGAAGAGCAAUGCGUCGAACGAGGCCAUGGCCAUGGUAGAGUGAUGGGGGGUAGGGAAGGGUAGGUUUAGGGUCUGAGAAUUGAGACUUGGUCGCGUUGGUUGGUUCCGAUUCUUCAAACUCAAUUAACUUGUUUGUUUGGAGCGAUUUUAUUAUGUUUAGGGAUAUUCCUUACUAAUUCAUCCUAGCCGUUCAUAUCCUUGAAAAGAUCUGACGGCUGAGAAUACACCGCAUCAGCAUAUUGAGUUAUUAUUUUUUU
RNAcentral lists this long non-coding RNA (1998 nucleotides) under Prunus persica (peach). Its description in RNAcentral is "long non-coding RNA (PPER_LNC002881)". The record is from RNAcentral. Lineage: Eukaryota; Viridiplantae; Streptophyta; Magnoliopsida; Rosales; Rosaceae.